This 512-nucleotide ribosomal RNA is filed under the name uncultured bacterium. RNAcentral's name for it is "partial 16S ribosomal RNA". It matches the Rfam family "Bacterial small subunit ribosomal RNA", at positions 28 to 506 of the family's 1533-position model. The record is from RNAcentral.
GACGAACGCUGGCGGCGUGCUUAACACAUGCAAGUCGAACGAAAAGAGGGAAAGAGCUUGCUCUUUCCGGAAUUGAGUGGCAAACGGGUGAGUAACACGUAAACAACCUGCCUUCAGGAUGGGGACAACAGACGGAAACGACUGCUAAUACCGAAUAAGUUCCAAGGGCCGCAUGGCCCAUGGAAGAAAAGGUGGCCUCUACCUGUAAGCUAUCGCCUGAAGAGGGGUUUGCGUCUGAUUAGCUGGUUGGAGGGGUAACGGCCCACCAAGGCGACGAUCAGUAGCCGGUCUGAGAGGAUGAACGGCCACACUGGAAUUGAGACACGGUCCAGACUCCUACGGGAGGCAGCAGUGGGGAAUCUUCCGCAAUGGGCGAAAGCCUGACGGAGCAACGCCGCGUGAGUGAUGACGGCCUUCGGGUUGUAAAACUCUGUGAUCCGGGACGAAAAGGCAGAGUGCGAAGAACAAACUGCAUUGACGGUACCGGAAAAGCAAGCCACGGCUAACUACGU